GCAGUGGAGGUUUAGUGGUAGAAUUCUCACCUUCCAUGAGGGAGACCUUGGUUCAAUUCUUGGCCAGUGCG
This 71-nucleotide transfer RNA is filed under the name Loxodonta africana (African savanna elephant). It matches the Rfam family "tRNA". From Rfam's summary of the family: Transfer RNA (tRNA) molecules are approximately 80 nucleotides in length. Their secondary structure includes four short double-helical elements and three loops (D, anti-codon, and T loops). Further hydrogen bonds mediate the characteristic L-shaped molecular structure. tRNAs have two regions of fundamental functional importance: the anti-codon, which is responsible for specific mRNA codon recognition, and the 3' end, to which the tRNAs corresponding amino acid is attached (by aminoacyl-tRNA synthetases). tRNAs cope with the degeneracy of the genetic code in two manners: having more than one tRNA (with a specific anti-codon) for a particular amino acid; and 'wobble' base-pairing, i.e. permitting non-standard base-pairing at the 3rd anti-codon position. Lineage: Eukaryota; Metazoa; Chordata; Mammalia; Proboscidea; Elephantidae. The record is from Rfam by way of RNAcentral.